This 366-nucleotide ribosomal RNA is filed under the name uncultured organism. RNAcentral describes it as "bacterial SSU rRNA". It matches the Rfam family "Bacterial small subunit ribosomal RNA", at positions 526 to 896 of the family's 1533-position model. The record is from RNAcentral.
CGGAGGAUCCAAGCGUUAUCCGGAAUCAUUGGGUUUAAAGGGUCCGUAGGCGGUUUUAUAAGUCAGUGGUGAAAUCUGGUCGCUCAACGAUCAAACGGCCAUUGAUACUGUAGAACUUGAAUUACUUGGAAGUAACUAGAAUAUGUAGUGUAGCGGUGAAAUGCUUAGAGAUUACAUGGAAUACCAAUUGCGAAGGCAGGUUACUACAAGUGGAUUGACGCUGAUGGACGAAAGCGUGGGGAGCGAACAGGAUUAGAUACCCUGGUAGUCCACGCCGUAAACGAUGGAUACUAGCUGUUCGGAGCAAUCUGAGUGGCUAAGCGAAAGUGAUAAGUAUCCCACCUGGGAAGUACGAUCGCAAGAUUG